AGGAGGAACAACCCCAGUGGCUGCGGCAGCUCUGGAGCCCUGGAUUCAGCUCCUGCAGUAACUACAGAGCUCUCUGCAGGAGCCUGGAGGCUCCGGGGGCGU
Molecule: microRNA precursor, 102 nt
Filed under: Canis lupus familiaris (dog)
Lineage: Eukaryota; Metazoa; Chordata; Mammalia; Carnivora; Canidae
Also listed under: 1 other name
Description: mir-8834 microRNA precursor family
Rfam family: mir-8834 microRNA precursor family
Source: Rfam by way of RNAcentral